GCGUCGGUGGUCUAGUGGUCAUGAUUCUGGCCUUCCAAGCCGGCUGCCCGGGUUCGAAUCCCGGCCGACGCA
Molecule: transfer RNA, 72 nt
Filed under: Candidatus Woesearchaeota archaeon
Lineage: Archaea; Nanobdellati; Candidatus Woesearchaeota
Description: tRNA-Gly
Rfam family: tRNA
About the family: Transfer RNA (tRNA) molecules are approximately 80 nucleotides in length. Their secondary structure includes four short double-helical elements and three loops (D, anti-codon, and T loops).
Source: RNAcentral